RNAcentral lists this long non-coding RNA (538 nucleotides) under Vulpes vulpes (red fox). Its description in RNAcentral is "lncRNA (ENSVVUG00000009364.1)". Lineage: Eukaryota; Metazoa; Chordata; Mammalia; Carnivora; Canidae. The record is from RNAcentral.
CUUUUCUGAAAGGGACCCUAAGAGAAACAACCAGCCUUAGGAAGCCCUGAGCAAGGAAGAGGUUGGAAUCAUCAUGGUGUGGCAUGCCAACACUUUAUAACUAUUAGACAUGGAUGAUCCAUUUCAUUUCCCUGAAUUAUCAUCCAGAAAAGGAAAUAGUGACCUGACACAAGACACCUGUCCUCAACUUCGCACCGUGGUGAGAGGUAACCAGGAUAAACUGCACUUUACUGUGAAAACCGACACCCACUUCCAUCCUGCCAGGGUCUUGUGUCGUUUGCCUCAUUGUCAAGGGGACUUUACUUUCCCUGCUCAUACCACAAGGAUGUGGCAAGGAUCAGGUAUGUGGAACUGUGUUGGGAUCUGUAAGAGACACACUCCAGCCAGCCAGCCAUCUGUCCAUCCAUCCGUCUGUUUGUCUAUUUAUUGCCUUUAUUGAACUUUCAUUCACACUCACGCAUGCAGAUGCUCACAGAGCCCCGAAAUCACAGUGUCCCUCUUUUGUCAGACUAAUAAAUGGAACUUGAAGAGGUUAAGA